Molecule: unclassified non-coding RNA, 400 nt
Filed under: uncultured fungus
Lineage: Eukaryota; Fungi
Description: sequence contains ITS1
Rfam family: 5.8S ribosomal RNA (bases 1-105)
Source: RNAcentral
AAACUGCGAUAAAUAGCGUGAAUUGCAGACGCUUUGAACGUUAAAGUUUCGAACGCACAUUGCGCCGUCGGAUUCCUACCCGACGGCACAUCUGGUUGAGGGUCGUGAUCAUAAAAACAGCUUGCCUAUCGGCUGUUAGUAGAAGUAGUUGGCGAAUCACUAGUCUAGCCCACCUGCCUCGGGCCAGAAGUGUUUUGCCAUAAUGCUCCUAGAGGACGUUCCCCUUUACGGGGCGAACGCCUACCACACGGAUGAUCUAUUAGCCGACGCUAAAGAUUCCGGUCAUCGGGUAUCAUGCCUAUAUACUCGGUGGCGUCUGGAAUACGGCUAGUACGCUUCAUACGUGCCUGGUGAUGAGAGCUUUCGCUCUCCCGACCUCAACUCAGGUGUGAAUACCCGC